RNAcentral lists this ribosomal RNA (656 nucleotides) under uncultured archaeon. Its description in RNAcentral is "bacterial SSU rRNA". It matches the Rfam family "Archaeal small subunit ribosomal RNA", at positions 205 to 854 of the family's 1478-position model. The record is from RNAcentral.
AAGGAUGAGUCUGCGGUCGAUUAGCUUGUUGGUGGGGUAACUGCCUACCAAGGCGAUGAUCGGUACGGGCUCUUAGCGGAGUUGCCCGGAGACGGAAUCUGAGACACUAUUCCGAGCUCUACGGAGUGCAGCAGUCGCGGAACUUUUACAAUGCACGAAAGUGUGAUAAAGCGAACCAAAGUGCUAUUCUUUUUGAAUAGCUUUUUUUCAACGUAAAAACUUGGAAGAAUAAGGACUGGGAAAGACCGGUGCCAGCCGCCGCGGUAAUACCGGCAGUUCAAGUUGCAUCCAGUUUUAUUGGGUCUAAAACAUCCGUAGCUCGCCAUUUAAGUCUCUUGUGAAAUCCUACGUCUCAAGCGUAGUGAAGUGCAGGAGAUACUGGAUGGCUAGAGAUCGGUAGACGUAAGCAGUACGGGACGGGUAACGGUCAAAUGUGUUAAUCCGUCUUGGACUAACAAUCAGCGAAGGCAGCUUACGAGGACGAAUCUGACAGUGAGGGAUGAAGGCCAGGGGCGCAAAACGGAUUAGAUACCCGUGUAGUCCCUGGCAAGUAAACACUGUUCACUAAACAUCGGGCCCUCUUAGGGAGGAUUUCGGUGCUGAAGGGAAGCCGAAGAGUGAACUACCCUGGGAAAGUAUAGUCGCAAGGUCCGAAA